AGGCCAGACUCCUACGGGAGGCAGCAGUGGGGGAUAUUGCACAAUGGGGGGAACCCUGAUGCAGCGACGCCGCGUGGGUGAAGGAGUAUUUCGGUAUGUAAAGCCCUAUCGGCAGGGAAGAAGCAAGACGGUACCUGACUAAGAAGCCCCGGCUAACUACGUGCCAGCAGCCGCGGUAAUACGUAGGGGGCAAGCGUUAUCCGGAUUUACUGGGUGUAAAGGGGGCGCAGACGGCAGCGCAAGCCAGGAGUGAAAGCCCGGGGCCCAACCCCGGGACUGCUCUUGGAACUGCGCGGCUGGAGUGCAGGAGGGGCAGGCGGAAUUCCUGGUGUAGCGGUGAAAUGCGUAGAUAUCAGGAGGAACACCGGCGGCGAAGGCGGCCUGCUGGACCGCGACUGACGUUGAGGCUCGAAAGCGUGGGGAGCAAACAGGAUUAGAUACCCGCGUA
Molecule: ribosomal RNA, 448 nt
Filed under: uncultured bacterium
Lineage: Bacteria
Description: bacterial SSU rRNA
Rfam family: Bacterial small subunit ribosomal RNA
Source: RNAcentral